Molecule: ribosomal RNA, 200 nt
Filed under: uncultured bacterium
Lineage: Bacteria
Description: partial 16S ribosomal RNA
Rfam family: Bacterial small subunit ribosomal RNA
Source: RNAcentral
GAUGAACGCUAGCGGCAGGCUUAACACAUGCAAGUCGAGGGGUAUAUUUCUUCGGAGAUAGAGACCGGCGCACGGGUGCGUAACGCGUAUGCAAUCUACCUCAUACUGGGGGAUAGCCCUGGGAAACCGGGAGUAAGCCCGCAUGGUACCACCGGAUUUCAUGGUUUGGUGGUUAAAGAUUUAUUGGUAUGAGAUGAGUU